Molecule: unclassified non-coding RNA, 438 nt
Filed under: Hevea brasiliensis (rubber tree)
Lineage: Eukaryota; Viridiplantae; Streptophyta; Magnoliopsida; Malpighiales; Euphorbiaceae
Source: RNAcentral
GGCAAUUCCAGUGCCGAAUUGGGAGUUGCAACAGCUCUUAUAACUCGCAUGCGUGAGGUAGACGGCAAUGGAAUUCGAAGCGAACGACACGAUCUCCGCCAAGGUGAAACAUGGCGAAAGAAAAACCUCGAGAUCUUGAAGGUACGAGAACAAGAAGGGGAUUCAAGGGUUUGGGGAGCUUUGGUGUAAGGGGAGGGAUUCAACACCACGGCAUGCAUAUUGAAAUUGAAUUGAAUUGAAUCACUGUUCGUAGUCUGAAUAAGGAUGGAUUGGAUAUCAGAAUCGAUGAACAGAUUAAGAAAAUUGAAGGCGUAAUUGAAAAGCAAACAGAGUGUUUAAAGUGUUUGUUCUUCUUCUCCUUCCUCACCGUUCCCCGCUUUUCAAUACUUUUCUUCUUCUUCCCUCUAAUUCCCUCCCCCGGAAUUAACAAUAUCUUGC